RNAcentral lists this ribosomal RNA (251 nucleotides) under uncultured Selenomonas sp. RNAcentral's name for it is "partial 16S ribosomal RNA". It matches the Rfam family "Bacterial small subunit ribosomal RNA", at positions 104 to 339 of the family's 1533-position model. Lineage: Bacteria; Bacillati; Bacillota; Negativicutes; Selenomonadales; Selenomonadaceae. The record is from RNAcentral.
GGGUGAGUAACACGUAGACAACCUGCCGACAGGAUGGGGACAACAUUCCGAAAGGAAUGCUAAUACCGAAUGAAGUCGAGGGAGGGCCUCCUCCUUCGAUGAAAGAUGGCCUCUAUUUAUAAGCUAUCACCUGUCGAUGGGUCUGCGUCUGAUUAGCUGGUUGGUGAGGUAACGGCUCACCAAGGCGACGAUCAGUAGCCGGUCUGAGAGGAUGAACGGCCACAUUGGGACUGAGACACGGCCCAGACUCC